This 497-nucleotide ribosomal RNA is filed under the name uncultured bacterium. Its description in RNAcentral is "partial 16S ribosomal RNA". It matches the Rfam family "Bacterial small subunit ribosomal RNA", at positions 28 to 507 of the family's 1533-position model. The record is from RNAcentral.
GAUGAACGCUGGCGGCGUGCCUAAUACAUGCAAGUCGAGCGAACAGAUGAGGAGCUUGCUCCUCUGACGUUAGCGGCGGACGGGUGAGUAACACGCGGAUAACCUACCUAUAAGACUGGGAUAACUUCGGGAAACCGGAGCUAAUACCGGAUAAUAUAUUGAACCGCAUGGUUCAAUAGUGAAAGACGGUUUUGCUGUCACUUAUAGAUGGAUCCGCGCCGCAUUAGCUAGUUGGUAAGGUAACGGCUUACCAAGGCGACGAUGCGUAGCCGACCUGAGAGGGUGAUCGGCCACACUGGAACUGAGACACGGUCCAGACUCCUACGGGAGGCAGCAGUAGGGAAUCUUCCGCAAUGGGCGAAAGCCUGACGGAGCAACGCCGCGUGAGUGAUGAAGGUCUUCGGAUCGUAAAACUCUGUUAUUAGGGAAGAACAAAUGUGUAAGUAACUAUGCACGUCUUGACGGUACCUAAUCAGAAAGCCACGGCUAACUACGUG